This is a long non-coding RNA of Panicum virgatum (switchgrass), 1008 nucleotides long. RefSeq lists it as uncharacterized. NCBI's taxonomy places the organism in Eukaryota, Viridiplantae, Streptophyta, Magnoliopsida, Poales, Poaceae. The record is from RefSeq and is a predicted model, not a curated record. The transcript is spliced from 3 exons.
UAGAUAGAUUUUAAUUCCAUCGUUUAAGAACAUGCCGAGUAACAUUGGGGUAUGUGCUGAUUACAAUAUGUAGCUUGCUAAUUCAGUUAUGCAGGUAUGUUAGAGCAUGGGCCACUAUACCUUCGUGAGGACACACUAAAUUUUCUGACACCCCUUUUGCUAAGUAAGGUUUGAGCCUCCCUUCUCAUGGUGUUGUUUCUACAAUCAGUGGUAAAUAUUCACGGUGGCCUGCUGAGUAUAGCGUUACCAACAUUAUAUCAAUUUGACUGCCGAUGCGCCACUCUGGAGUCUGGACUGGCCAAACUGGAAGGCAGCGACUUGUCGGCAGAGUAGAGGCAAGGCAAGAGGAGGCCAUCUUCACAUCCACUCCUUCAACUGCUACCUGUGACUGCAGCAUUUCUUUCCUGUACGGCCAUUUGUUGCUUGGUUAAAAUAAUGAAAGACAGAUUAUCAAAAUGGUUGGUGGAAACUUGCAACCUUAGUGAGUUAGUGGCUGCUCACGAGUUUGUUACGGGUCUGUCAAGCAGGUGUGCUCAAGCACGCAGCAAUCCCAGUUGAGCCACCUCAGAGUCAGUGGCAAGAAUUGAGCUGCAGAAAUGUAGUUAUGUCAUAGUCGAUUACUGUUAUGCUUACCUAUGCAUCAUAAAAAAAUUAAAUAAAUUUGAUACAAAAUUGUAGGUCUUUCAGUCGUUGAAAGAUGUUGUUCUUCUCACAAAAUAAAAUACAAUUGAAUCGCGAAAGAAAAGGUGAUAACCACAUCUACUUAGUCAAAAAAAAAUUUGCCAAUAUUGUAAAUCUUAUUCUCAUCAUGACACAAUUCUAGCACCUCAACUCUUACUUUUCAUAUCCCCUCAUAAUUCAUCCUUGCAUUUGCUUUCGAAGUUGGAAAAUCAUGUGAACAAUUUUGGCUACAUCUGAAUGGUAAAUAGGAUAUAAUUUCUUAUCUAUGGAAAUUAUUUAGUUGAAUGUUAUUACUUUUAUAAAUUUUUUUUCCCAUCAUGCUAAUUU